RNAcentral lists this small nuclear RNA (18 nucleotides) under Arabidopsis thaliana (thale cress). Its description in RNAcentral is "snRNA_12625". Lineage: Eukaryota; Viridiplantae; Streptophyta; Magnoliopsida; Brassicales; Brassicaceae. The record is from RNAcentral.
UGGAAGAGCACCGCACGU